Molecule: long non-coding RNA, 3110 nt
Organism: Triticum urartu
Lineage: Eukaryota; Viridiplantae; Streptophyta; Magnoliopsida; Poales; Poaceae
Source: RefSeq, a predicted model, not a curated record
UUCGCGCGUGUAAGCAUGUCCAAGAGUUUUACCGCGUUGUCGCCGUCCUCCUAGACCUCUUUCCCUCUCCGUAAAACCCCUCACCGACGCUCGCCGCUGAACGCCCACGUGAGCAUAGUGCGUCGGCCGUCGUCUUCCUCCUCGUCUCUUCCUCCCUGCGCCUCCGUUGGCCGCCUCUACCCCGUGAGAGUCUCCCAUGUGCCUCCCUCGUCGCCUGCCUUCAAGCCAAGGCACAAGCACACGCGUCCGUGGCGUCGGCCACCCGUCCGAGGCGACGACAACUCAGCCUCCUCGCCCUGUGGCUAUAUAAGCCCACCCCGAGGCCUCCUGGUCGACCCCAGUUCUUCGCCUCACUCUCCUACCCCUCCCUAGCCUCUCAUCCGAGCUCGAGAAGCUCUCUUGCCGCCCCUCUGUCGCCAUGGCCAUCGCCUCGGUCCUCCUAAAUUGGAGCGAACUCGAGCCCCUCUCUUGCUCCUACCACCACCAGUAGACCGCCCCCACUCCGGCGACCAUCCCCAGGUCCUUUUCCCCUCGCCGGAGCCACUAUGGCCUCGAGUCCCGUCUCCACCCGAAGCCCCCUCCGCCGGAGUGCUUGCUGCUCUCAACACCGCCCUCCUCGAGGUCCGUUCUGUCCUGGAACGGGCCGGCCUCGUCGCCCUGAGCACGUGGGUAGGUAGAGCGCCGCCUACGGUGGCCGGAAGCGCCAGCGCUCGUCGUCGGAGCCGCGCCGCUGCUCUGCUCCGGCGGGCACGCGCGAGGAGGAAGAAGGAGCCAGGCCAGGCGGGCCUUCUCCUUUCCCCGACCCCACCUGGCAGCCACUCAGGCCCGGCCCCGCCCCUGCAUGCGUUGACCCGGGCGGCCAGCGCAGAUAAGUGACGGGCCCCACCCCGUGGGACCCGCACGUCAGCGACCCUAGCCCCGGAACCGCGCGCGUUUAGGUGGAAGCGUACUUCGAAAAGUACGUUUCCGCGUGGAGUAAGCGUAUUCCGCCUCUGCUUUAUCUAAAAAUGUGCUUUCUCCGUUCUGAAGACGUAUUUCCUAAAAUGCGUUUUCUGUUUUUCAGCUCAGGGGCCUGUUUGUAGAGUUAUGUUUACAGAUUGGUCCCUAAACUUCGUCGGGCUAUAACUUUCUACUCCCAACUCCAAAUGAGCCCCUCCGAGAGAGAACGUUUUUCCGGCGAUUCUUUCCGCGAGCUUCUCGCACCUUUUCUCGGUGAUUUCUUCCACCCGAGGCAAGCCACGCCAUCCAUUUGCAUGAUUGAAAUGCAGUGACAUGGUUUAUUCAUUUAAACUUGUUUAAAAUAUUGCUUUAGCUAUAUGUGAUCUGUUCAUGGCAUUUCCCGGAGUAUUGAUUUGAUCUUCAUAUUGCUUGGAGUAUUAGGCUUAUAUUUUUGAUGAUUAUGUGGACGACAUGUGCCUUUGGAUUCUUAGUGGCUAUUAGGAUUAUUUUCAUGACGGUAUCUGGUAUUCUUUUGGAGAAUUACUUUGGAUGACAUGUGCCUUUGGAUUCCUAGUGGCUAUUAGGAUUAUUUCCAUGAUGGUAUCUGGUAUUAGUUUGGAGUAUUACUUUGGAUGACAUGUGCCUUUGGAUUCUUAGUGGCUAUUAGGAUUAUGUCCAUGAUGGUAUCUAUUAUUAUAUUUUGGAGUAUUACUUUGGAUAUCAUGCUGCCUUUGGAUUAUUAGUGGUUAGUAUGAUUAUUUUCAUGAUGCUAGUUGAUUCUCUGUUGCUUGAAGUAUUAUUUUCGAAAAUGAUGUUUACAUGUGGAUCUUAGUCGAAUAGCUUUAUUCUUGUUAUUGGAGUAGUAGGAUUAUUGUUUUCGGAUUCAUCAUGACAGUAGUGAUGUGCUACCCUUGGAGUAUUUUUGAGGUGAUGAUAUUAGGCUUGGAUUAUUUGUUGGAUUUUGCUAUGACUUGGAUUAUAGUUUGAUAGUUGAUAUCGAAGUAUCAGUCAUCACAGUUAUACUUUGGGGGAUAAAUUCAGUCAUUAAGUUGGUCAGGUGCCACCGAACUGGGCUUUCUCCAGUGCAACCACAUUUGCCUUUAUGGGAAGGCCCUAAUGCGGUCUAUUGCCGUGCCUCUCGCCGGUGCCUCCAACUACGGAAGGUUAUGGGCAUGCGGUACCCUGGCCCGGUAAGCAGACAUAACCUUGUGUGCCCGUUGUUGUUGUUGUAUCCGGGUUGUCCCUGUGUGGGACCGUUUAUUGUUUUGGCCACGACGGUGGCCGUUGUGUCUUUGGUAGACACGGGGCCACCCAGGACUAGCCCAGUGGGGAGUGAGUCGGAGUGGCCGGGAGAGUGUCAUGGCAGUAGAUCAGUUUUGUCGGAACGCCGUUGGUCCACCCGAAUGGGAGAGCGAGGCCAUGGGUUCCAUGGUGUGGGUACAGUGCGCUACCUCUGCACAGUGUAUUUAAAUCUAUCGAUAGCCACGCCCUCGGUCAUGGGCAUGGGUUCGUACUAGGUCACACCGUUCGAUCAACACUCACAUGACGGAAUGACUUAUAGGUGAUUUAUAUGUGGAUAUUUUGAGCCAUACAGAUUGGCAAGAUGUUGAUGAUGACGUUUGAGACCAAGUGUUGGUUGUGGCAGUGAUCGCCAGAAUGAUCACCGUUUGGUUUGGAUCAUGAGGUGAUCGAGAUGGUAUAUUGCUUGGCCGGUUAGCCAAGAGUGAUAUGGUUAUGGAGAUCUGAGAUGGUGAUUCAUCAGUAUUGUAUUAGUUUCAUACCAUGCUUAGUAGUUGCUACAUAAUAAUAGUUGUUAAUUUAAUUAACCUGUUAAAUGCUAUAUUAUCGUCUUGCCUUGAUGUUUAUGGUUGUUGUGAGCUUGCAAGUACAUUCCAUGUACUGACCUGGCGUGUCAUGCCUGAUUGCAGGUGAUUCCAUGAUUGCUUGAUUUCUUGUCAAGGUUGCCGUGCGUGCGAGCUAGAUCGUGUCCCAGCCAGAGUCCCUGAGGAGUGGAGUUCACUACCUUCGUCGUUGUUCCGCUGCUACGAGUUGUUCUGCUGCUAGCAUAGAGCAAGUGUAGUAUUGCAGGCGUAGUGUCGCCGUGCUGAUGUGCUUCUUUGUAAUAUCAUACCUUGUAUUAUUAUCCUUGUAAUAAGAGCUGAUUUGUUCUA